AAUUUAAAAGGUAGCGAAGAAUAUAUGUCUUGAUUUGGGCACUUGGACAUACAGGAGCUAGUAGUGCAACCGACCUUGUUAUUU
Molecule: non-coding RNA, 84 nt
Filed under: Evansella cellulosilytica
Lineage: Bacteria; Bacillati; Bacillota; Bacilli; Caryophanales; Bacillaceae
Also listed under: 1 other name
Description: Bacillus cellulosilyticus c-di-GMP-II sequence
Rfam family: Cyclic di-GMP-II riboswitch aptamer
Source: RNAcentral